AUUGAACGCUGGCGGCAUGCCUUACACAUGCAAGUCGAACGGCAGCACGGGAGCAAUCCUGGUGGCGAGUGGCGAACGGGUGAGUAAUACAUCGGAACGUGCCCAACCGUGGGGAUAACGUAGCGAAAGCUACGCUAAUACCGCAUACGAUCUACGGAUGAAAGCGGGGGAGCGCAAGACCUCGCGCGAAUGGAGCGGCCGAUGGCAGAUGAGGUAGUUGGUGGGGUAAAGGCUCACCAAGCCUGCGAUCUGUAGCUGGUCUGAGAGGACGACCAGCCACACUGGGACUGAGACACGGCCCAGACUCCUACGGGAGGCAGCAGUGGGGAAUUUUGGACAAUGGGCGCAAGCCUGAUCCAGCAAUGCCGCGUGCAGGAUGAAGGCCUUCGGGUUGUAAACUGCUUUUGUACGGAACGAAACGGUCCUUUCUAAUACAAGGGGCUAAUGACGGUACCGUAAGAAUAAGCACCGGCUAACUACGUGCCAGCAGCCGCAGUAA
RNAcentral lists this ribosomal RNA (499 nucleotides) under uncultured bacterium. RNAcentral describes it as "partial 16S ribosomal RNA". It matches the Rfam family "Bacterial small subunit ribosomal RNA", at positions 29 to 523 of the family's 1533-position model. The record is from RNAcentral.